Molecule: ribosomal RNA, 540 nt
Filed under: Triticum aestivum (bread wheat)
Lineage: Eukaryota; Viridiplantae; Streptophyta; Magnoliopsida; Poales; Poaceae
Description: partial small subunit ribosomal RNA
Source: RNAcentral
AUGGGGAGAAUCAAUGUUAAUCCUAUUUGGGGUAAGAUCUGGAAAUUAUCUUGUCCAACAAAGGUCAAAAUUUGCAUCUGGCGCACACCGCAUGGCAUUCUACCUUGUCGGGUUACGCUUGCGAACAGACACCUGAAAGUCAUGCCCAUCUGCCCUUCAUGUUCUAGGCGCGAGGAUACAAAUCAUAUGUUGUUUCUUUGUCAGAAAGCUAAGGAGGUUUGGCGUAAGUUGGGAUUGGAUGAGGUGAUCAACAAAGCUUGUGUUAUGGAACGUGCAGGAGAGGCAGUCCUUGAAUUUUUACUUCUUAUGCCAGAUCAUGAUGUAGCUAUAUUGGGAAUCCAGAAGGCCCACGAACUAAUCGCUAUUACCGCUUGGUACUUAUGGUGGGAUAGACGUAGGCUGGUCCUUGAAGGAAAAUUUCAAGAUGCUCAACAAACUUCUAUGGGUAUCCGUGCUAUAGCGGCAAACUUUGUUAAUGCUUUCUCGCCAAAUGUAGUCAGUAAAAGAGUUGCAUGGACUAGACCUCCAUGGGUUUUGUGA